RNAcentral lists this ribosomal RNA (254 nucleotides) under uncultured bacterium. RNAcentral describes it as "partial 16S ribosomal RNA". It matches the Rfam family "Bacterial small subunit ribosomal RNA", at positions 524 to 777 of the family's 1533-position model. The record is from RNAcentral.
UACGAAGGGGGCUAGCGUUGCUCGGAAUCACUGGGCGUAAAGCGCACGUAGGCGGAUCUUUAAGUCAGGGGUGAAAUCCUGGAGCUCAACUCCAGAACUGCCUUUGAUACUGAGGAUCUUGAGUCCGGGAGAGGUGAGUGGAACUCCGAGUGUAGAGGUGAAAUUCGUAGAUAUUAGGAAGAACACCAGUGGCGAAGGCGGCUCACUGGCCCGGUACUGACGCUGAGGCGCGAAAGCGUGGGGAGCAAACAGGG